GAUGAACGCUGGCGGCGUGCCUAAUACAUGCAAGUCGAGCGAACGGACGAGAAGCUUGCUUCUCUGAUGUUAGCGGCGGACGGGUGAGUAACACGUGGAUAACCUACCUAUAAGACUGGGAUAACUUCGGGAAACCGGAGCUAAUACCGGAUAAUAUUUUGAACCGCAUGGUUCAAAAGUGAAAGACGGUCUUGCUGUCACUUAUAGAUGGAUCCGCGCUGCAUUAGCUAGUUGGUAAGGUAACGGCUUACCAAGGCAACGAUGCAUAGCCGACCUGAGAGGGUGAUCGGCCACACUGGAACUGAGACACGGUCCAGACUCCUACGGGAGGCAGCAGUAGGGAAUCUUCCGCAAUGGGCGAAAGCCUGACGGAGCAACGCCGCGUGAGUGAUGAAGGUCUUCGGAUCGUAAAACCCUGUUAUUAGGGAAGAACAUAUGUGUAAGUAACUGUGCACAUCGUGACGGUACCUAAUCAGAAAGCCACGGCUAACUACGUG
RNAcentral lists this ribosomal RNA (497 nucleotides) under uncultured bacterium. Its description in RNAcentral is "partial 16S ribosomal RNA". It matches the Rfam family "Bacterial small subunit ribosomal RNA", at positions 28 to 507 of the family's 1533-position model. The record is from RNAcentral.